CCUACGGGUGGCAGCAGUCGAGAAUCAUUCACAAUGGGGGAAACCCUGAUGGUGCGACGCCGCGUGGGGGAAUGAAGGUCUUCGGAUUGUAAACCCCUGUCAUGUGGGAGCAAAUUAAAAAGAUAGUACCACAAGAGGAAGAGACGGCUAACUCUGUGCCAGCAGCCGCGGUAAUACGGAGGAUGCGAGCGUUAUCCGGAUUUAUUGGGUUUAAAGGGUGCGUAGGCGGUCCGGAAAGUCAGCGGUAAAAGCCCGGGGCUCAACCCCGGCGAGCCGUUGAAACUGUCGGACUAGAGACGGCGAGAAGUACGCGGAAUGCGCGGUGUAGCGGUGAAAUGCAUAGAUAUCGCGCAGAACUCCGAUUGCGAAGGCAGCGUACCGGCGCCGGACUGACGCUGAGGCACGAAAGCGUGGGUAUCGAACAGGAUUAGAUACCCUAGUAGUC
Molecule: ribosomal RNA, 445 nt
Filed under: uncultured bacterium
Lineage: Bacteria
Description: partial 16S ribosomal RNA
Rfam family: Bacterial small subunit ribosomal RNA
Source: RNAcentral